RNAcentral lists this small RNA (129 nucleotides) under Providencia alcalifaciens. Its description in RNAcentral is "RtT sRNA". It matches the Rfam family "RtT RNA". From Rfam's summary of the family: This family represents a bacterial cis-regulatory element known as RtT RNA. The exact function of RtT is unknown although it is thought that it may be involved in changing the cellular response in relation to amino acid starvation. Lineage: Bacteria; Pseudomonadati; Pseudomonadota; Gammaproteobacteria; Enterobacterales; Morganellaceae. The record is from RNAcentral.
AUAUUGUAUGUUGAGCGCAGGUGAGAAGCUGCGUUCAGGUUCGAGCCUCGCGAAGCGAGACAGCGUUGCGCUUGCCGCAACGACCCGAAGGGCGAGGGCAAAGCCCGAAUCAUCCUGCACGACCCACCA